RNAcentral lists this ribosomal RNA (628 nucleotides) under uncultured bacterium. RNAcentral describes it as "bacterial SSU rRNA". It matches the Rfam family "Bacterial small subunit ribosomal RNA", at positions 764 to 1390 of the family's 1533-position model. The record is from RNAcentral.
GGGAGCAAACAGGCUUAGAUACCCUGGUAGUCCACCCCGUAAACGUUGGGAACUAGUUGUGGGGGCCUUUCCACGGUCUCCGUGACGCAGCUAACGCAUUAAGUUCCCCGCCUGGGGAGUACGGCCGCAAGGCUAAAACUCAAAGGAAUUGACGGGGACCCGCACAAGCGGCGGAGCAUGCGGAUUAAUUCGAUGCAACGCGAAGAACCUUACCAAGGCUUGACAUACACCGGAAACGUCCAGAGAUGGUCGCCCCUUUUUGGUCGGUGUACAGGUGGUGCAUGGUUGUCGUCAGCUCGUGUCGUGAGAUGUUGGGUUAAGUCCCGCAACGAGCGCAACCCUCGUUCUAUGUUGCCAGCACGUUAUGGUGGGAACUCAUGGGAUACUGCCGGGGUCAACUCGGAGGAAGGUGGGGAUGACGUCAAAUCAUCAUGCCCCUUAUGUCUUGGGCUUCACGCAUGCUACAAUGGCCGGUACAAUGGGCUGCGAUACCGUGAGGUGGAGCGAAUCCCAAAAAGCCGGUCCCAGUUCGGAUCGUAGUCUGCAACUCGACUACGUGAAGUCGGAGUCGCUAGUAAUCGCAGAUCAGCAACGCUGCGGUGAAUACGUUCCCGGGUCUUGUACACAC